Molecule: long non-coding RNA, 3043 nt
Filed under: Marmota monax (woodchuck)
Lineage: Eukaryota; Metazoa; Chordata; Mammalia; Rodentia; Sciuridae
Source: RNAcentral
CCUCACCCCAGAGGGUACGGGGACCGCAGUGCCCUGUGUCCCCUCCAGCAUCGGUAUAGCCCCUCGGGACCAAUUCCGGCCACGCUGAAGGGCACGUGGUGACGUCUCGCUGGGCUCGAUUUAGUCCUCCCUAAUCGCCAGCUGUGUCGAGGAGCUUUCCGUGUGAUUAUUGCCAUCUGUCUCUGUCCUUUGGUGACGUGUCUGUUGACAUUUUUUGCCAUAUUUAGCUGCUUUCUUUUUGCUGAGUUUGGAGAAUUCUUUACGUAUUCCGGACACGAGUCCUCCAUCAGACAGACGUUUUUAAAUAUUUUCUGUUCGUCCGUGGCUCUCUCCUGAUGGUGCCUUCCCAAAUACAGAAUUUCUUAUCUUGGAUGAGGCCAAAUUUAUCCAUGUUUCCCUUUCACAAAUUGUGCUGGUCACAUCACAAGGAAGAUGUUUUUUGCCCAACCCAAAGUCACAAAGCUCCGCUCCUCUAUUUCCCUCAGAUCUGUGAUUCGGUUGAGAGUCAUCCUUUCCUCUGGCCUGAGAUGCAAACUGAAGUCACUUCCCGUGCGUGGACUUCACGGUCACUUGGCUCAGAGCCCUUGAAGGAUUCGAGUGAGGUCAGAACACCUGCGAUUCCCGCGGGUGGUGGGGAGGGUCCCGCGGUCCGUUUCUGUGGGCUGUCUCUGGACUCUGGAUGCUGUUCCACCCCUUCACCUGUGGGCCCCCUGGUUUCUCAGCUGUGCUCCUGUGAGCUCUGUGGCCGGCCCUCUGCUGUGCUGUGCCUCGGCUGCGUCCCCAAGGCUGGCACCUAGGCUCUCUGAGGUGUUGCCCUGUCCGUCAGCCCAGGCCGCAGAACAAAGCGCCACGUGGCUGCGAUGGGGACACCCACUCUCAGGCCUCCUGGGGCUCCAGUCCGGGAUCCAGGGCUGAGGCUGGACCCUCAGAGGCCUCUCUCCUUGGCUCGCAGAUGGUGGCUUCCUCCUGUGUCCCCACAAGGUCAUCCUCUGGGAGACAGUGUCCUGUUCGCCUCUUCUUGUGAGGACCCCAGUCACAAGAGAGUCCAGCUCUGCCCGCUGUUGCUGCUGGGAUGUGGCCUGAGCCUCCAGAGUGGGCCUUGGGCUGUCCAUCCGCAUGACGAGGAGCCUGGGCUUUGAGCACAGAAGGUGACACCCUACCGUGCCAGCCGGGCACGGCAGGCCCCUGGGCACUGUGUCCCGAGGUGUCCCGUACCCAAGAGCAGGGGAACCCAGAGACAGGCCUGGGGGGAUGACCCAGGUGGCCGAGGGGCUGCCCAGCAUCAGAGCACGGGGGUCCUGAGAGCCGAGGGCCACAUGUGGGCACCUCAGGGCCAGGCUCCCAGAGUCCACGGAGAGGUCCUGUAGGAUGGAUGGGAGGAGGGCGACGUGCCAGAAAGCGGAGCAGGCCAGAGGUGCUGGGGGAGCCGAGGCACAGCAGGGCUGGGGCUGCACACCGACCUGGGGACAUUCGCGGCCCUCCACGCCCUGUCUCUCACGGCCUCCGAUCUGCAGGUCUCUAAGACUUGACCGCGUGGACUCCGUCCUCUGAGCCGUCUUCGACUCCAGGUCCCUGCAUGGCCCUGCCCCUCACAGGGACGGAGCGUUCUCCCUCCCCUUGGACUGACGCUCGCCGGGGCACACGUAGGGUCUGGGUGUACUUGGAGUGUCCCCCAGGGGUCCUUGGUCCCCAGGGUGGGGCACAGGAGGUGCAGGGCCCAGCAGAGGUCUCUCGGUCUCGGUUGUGGGUGGCAUCUGUCUCCCUCUGCUCCUGGUUCAGGUCGCUGGCUCAGACACGGGUCCCCAGCCUGCCAUCAGCCACAUGCCAUGAGAUCGUCACCAGCACUGAGCCCAGGUCAGCACCAGGCCUCGGGCCUCGGGCCUGUGACCUGGAGGAAGCGUCUUGCUAGUGCGGCCGGCUGCUGCGGGGCGCCUCCCCACGCGCUCACUGUCCUGCUCUGCCCAGGCCUCGAGCCCCUGCAGCUGUCCCCAGGUCCUCUAUUUGGUUCCCAGACUCUGCGGAGAGCUCGGCCUGCCCCAUGGCCACUCAGAACUGCUGAGCGUCACCUCAGUUCCUCUCCCUGCAGGGACAACGCCACACCCUGGAGCAGCUGCCGCCGGGACACGGCCGCUGCCUCCCUCUCUGGUCUCUUGUCCAAGGGGCGGUUGGUUAUUGAUGUUUGACUUGCAACUCGGGAGGCUGAGGCAGGACGGUCAAGUUCAAGGCCAGCCUCAGCUCAGAAGCUAGCAAGGCCCUGACUCAAGAUAAAAAGGGCUGGGAAAGUAGCCAGUGGUAGAGCUGCCUGGCUCACCCCCCAGAACCGAGAAAAGAAAGUAACCAAGAGCCCCCCAAGACUGGACACUCGGUGAGGGGAAGAAUGAGCAAGAGGAAGUUCCUUGCGACGGUCCCCUCGGCCCUCCCCCUCUGCCACCGCCAGGCCAGCCCAGCGGCCCGGGCCAGGCGGGAAGAGGCUCCGUGAUCUCGGGCACCGGCAUCACCUGCUCUGGCUUUCAAGGUCAGGGAGACUCUCCCCUGUGGCCUUUCAAGUGUGUCAUUAGCUCAGUUCAUUUAGAUCUGAUUGACUUCGAGUCAGUUUAGCAGAGAUCACGGGGUCUGGGUCGCGGGCUUCUCCUGAAGUGGGUCGUCAACUGCUCCAGCCCCGUCUGUUGGAAAGGAUCGUCCCUCUUGCUAGGUCUGCAUGUGACCCCAUCGCAGGGGUGGGAAGAGGCGGUGUGCUCCUGUGCAGCCGGGGACGCCCUGAGAGGCCCUCACGGACGCAGGGUCCUGCACCCUGACCUGCUCUUCCAGCCGGAGGAACUGCAGGCGGCUCUGCGGCUCCCAAGGCAGAGCCGGGGCCCCUAGUCAGAGCUGCACAAAGGAGCCAGGGCCCCUCUACCCCGCCACCCUGGCACCUGCAGGAAGCAGGGUCUCCCUCGAGGGCUGCUGGAGACGCAGCUUCCUGGAGGCUUUGCCAGCUGCCUCCAGGGACGUCCAGCACCUCUUUCCCUAUCAGCCUGCUGAUAGGGGCCUAACCUCCCUCCCA